Molecule: long non-coding RNA, 564 nt
Organism: Pezoporus occidentalis (night parrot)
Lineage: Eukaryota; Metazoa; Chordata; Aves; Psittaciformes; Psittacidae
Exons: 2
Source: RefSeq, a predicted model, not a curated record
UAAGCUUAUGCAUGGUUUGGAAGCCUUCCAUAAAUCGAGAUAGGAAAUCUCGCAGUUAAAGGCGUAUACCCGGUUUCUAGCGUCCGUUUGGUAUACACCCACAAGAAGCAAGGGGUUUCUUGUGGCUUGGGUCCUGCAAGACACAGGGGGUGUCUUGUGGAAAUGGUUUUGGAUUUUACUAGUGACAGACUGAAUGCAAAAUUAAUAUAGCUCCGUCAGAUUCCUUAAUUUCAGCUUUGGAAAAGGACAGGGAAAAACUGAAAGUUAAGCUGAAGAGAUGUUGUUCAGCCUGUGAUAUUGGGGAAAGAUGUUUAAAGUUAAAAAAACAGUAAUCAGGAAGAUAGGUUGAAAAUCAUGUAUCACAGGUACCUCCGAGAGAAGCAGCCUCUGUAUCCAUCCUAUUUGAUAUUGAUAAGGAGGAAGAGAUUGCUGUCACUGGCAACAAGCAACACAUUCACAUUUAGAGUUAAGAAGGGGUUAAACCAGAAGCGCUGUUGCAGAGGCAGGCAUCUGCAGCUCCUGCAGAGCAGGGUGAGCAGCUGUGAAAAAAAAAAAAAGGGAAAA